GUUUGUUUUGUGAGACAGUCGCUCUCGGACGCUUGUGGGUGAAACUUUAAUAUGAAAUUGUCCCUCAUCUGCCUUGGCCUGGUGGCCGUCUCCCUCCAAGUCGGAUUCUCGCACGCCGUCUCUCCCUCCAACGGGGUGUCCUGGCUGCUCGGCGAGGAGGCCUUCGACUGGGGCAGCGUCGAGGACCCGGCGAGUCCCGCGCGCUGCCUGGCCAACAUCGCCGUCGCCAGCUUGCUUUGGGCUGUGUAUUCGCGGUACACGAUAUAAAGCGCAUUCUGGGAGGAUUUAUAUUUAUUAAAAGGUGUUUAUAAAA
Long non-coding RNA from Penaeus monodon (black tiger shrimp), 313 nucleotides. RefSeq lists it as uncharacterized. Lineage: Eukaryota; Metazoa; Arthropoda; Malacostraca; Decapoda; Penaeidae. The transcript is spliced from 2 exons. The record is from RefSeq and is a predicted model, not a curated record.